CAGUCGCCGCGGGAAUACGUAGGGUGCGAGCGUUAAUCGGAAUUACUGGGCGUAAAGCGUGCGCAGGCGGUUGUGUAAGACAGGUGUGAAAUCCCCGGGCUUAACCUGGGAACUGCGCUUGUGACUGCACAGCUAGAGUAUGGCAGAGGGGGGUGGAAUUCCACGUGUAGCAGUGAAAUGCGUAGAGAUGUGGAGGAACACCGAUGGCGAAGGCAGCCCCCUGGGCCAAUACUGACGCUCAUGCACGAAAGCGUGGGGAGCAAACAGGAUUAGAUACCCGAGUAGUCCCUGUCUCUUAUAC
Molecule: ribosomal RNA, 301 nt
Filed under: uncultured bacterium
Lineage: Bacteria
Description: partial 16S ribosomal RNA
Rfam family: Bacterial small subunit ribosomal RNA
Source: RNAcentral